UCGGCAGAGACUCCAAAGACCCACAGUUUUCCAUACUAAGAUAUAUCAAAUUGUGCGGCAAAGCCCCCACUGGGAAGGAGACUAAACUCCUACAUUGGCUUAUUUUCAAAUCUUCGAGAGAUUUGAGGUCUUUCAGUCCACUAGGUAACUCCUUCAGAUUUGGACACAAAUCUAUGUCCAAAACUUCCAGGUUGCAAGGCAAAAGCCCUUCCUCUCCAUCUACCAAUGACACAAGCUCAUGACAUCCCCCAAUUUCCAAACGCUUUAGGCUAGUAAGACAGGUGGCAUUAGUCACACUCUUGAGAAAUGCCUCUUGACAUCUUCUAAUAUAGAGUGUUAUAAAUGAUGGGAGCACUUUUGGUAAUUCAACCAAGAGCGGGCAAUUAUCAAUGACAAUAUUUUCCAGGGAAGAAAGGAAGUUGGGCAAUUUUUCAACCAACCUGGAACAAUUUUGUAUUUGGAGUUCAUACAGCUUAGGAAAUUUUGCCACAGAAUCUUCACCCAGACCAUUAGACCAAGCCCACUGCUCCCACUCACCCAUAUCAACAAUCUCUAGCGUUUCCAAACAGGAAAAACAUGAUUCAUCCUCAUAAAACUCCACACCCACUUCUUUCACUCCACUUAAGCCUUUUAUGCUCAACUUUUUUAAUGACUUUAAUCGUCCGAGUGGUGGCAGUGAAGUAAUUUGAUGACAGUUGCUCAGCUCCACCUGCACCAUGCCAGAGAAUGAAAUAAUACUUCUGUUUUGCAUGUCAUUUUUGUCAAAAAUAUAAUGUCAUUGAAUUGGUUUUAUGAAAUAAUACUUCUGGAAUUCUUUUGUUUUUUCAGUCUGCAGAAAGACCCAACAAAAAGAUGGUCAGCAUAUGACCUUCUGGUAAGUGAAACUUUUUUUUUUCCCUCCUCCUUGACAUCCAAAUGUAAUACCAUCAAUUUGUGUUGAUCAGCUGACGUUUCUAAUAUUUGAUUUUCUUUUUAAUAUUUUCAAUUGCAAUGGAAGAAACAUCCAUUCAUGAUCAAGUAUGAUGACCUGCAAGCAGAAGCUCUCAAAUCUUACUUCACAAACACAGGCUCUCCAGAAACUACUAGUGAGUGAUUGUGAUCGAACAGCUCUUCUUCAAGAAACUGAUUAAAGAAUGUUUUUCACUACAUCGAAUUGCAAAGCAUGAUGCCAUAUCAACACAGCUAAAGCAUCUCCUCGUGCGUGUUUUCUACCUUAUAUAGAUGUGUGUAUUCUAUAAAUUUGUUGCUCAAGAAUGACAAGGCCACAAAAAAUCUGUCGAUCAGGCAUCGAAUCUAUCUUUUUAUUGAAAUAGUUAAGUUUCUGUUUAUCAACUGUUGAAUAUUAUAGUGCCCUGAUCCG
Molecule: long non-coding RNA, 1360 nt
Filed under: Manihot esculenta (cassava)
Lineage: Eukaryota; Viridiplantae; Streptophyta; Magnoliopsida; Malpighiales; Euphorbiaceae
Description: long non-coding RNA (MESC_LNC006197)
Source: RNAcentral